CCAGACUCCUACGGGAGGCAGCAGUGGGGAAUAUUGCACAAUGGGGGAAACCCUGAUGCAGCGACGCCGCGUGAGUGAAGAAGUAUUUCGGUAUGUAAAGCUCUAUCAGCAGGAAAGAAAAUGACGGUACCUGACUAAGAAGCCCCGGCUAACUACGUGCCAGCAGCCGCGGUAAUACGUAGGGGGCAAGCGUUAUCCGGAUUUACUGGGUGUAAAGGGAGCGUAGACGGUGAAGCAAGUCUGAAGUGAAAGGCGGGGGCUCAACCCCCGGACUGCUUUGGAAACUGUUUGACUGGAGUGCAGGAGAGGUAAGUGGAAUUCCUAGUGUAGCGGUGAAAUUCGUAGAUAUUAGAAGGAACACCGAUAGCGUAGGCAGGUUACUGGGACGGUUCUGACACUAAGGCACGAAAGCGUAGGGAGCCAACGGGAUUAGAUACCCUUGUA
RNAcentral lists this ribosomal RNA (444 nucleotides) under uncultured bacterium. RNAcentral describes it as "bacterial SSU rRNA". It matches the Rfam family "Bacterial small subunit ribosomal RNA", at positions 331 to 792 of the family's 1533-position model. The record is from RNAcentral.